GAUGAACGCUGGCGGCGUGCCUAAUACAUGCAAGUCGAGCGAACGGACGAGAAGCUUGCUUUUCUGAUGUUAGCGGCGGACGGGUGAGUAACACGUGGAUAACCUACCUAUAAGCCUGGGAUAACUUCGGGAAACCGGAGCUAAUACCGGAUAAUAUUUUGAACCGCAUGGUUCAAAAGUGAAAGACGGUCUUGCUGUCACUUAUAGAUGGAUCCGCGCUGCAUUAGCUAGUUGGUAAGGUAACGGCUUACCAAGGCAACGAUGCAUAGCCGACCUGAGAGGGUGAUCGGCCACACUGGAACUGAGACACGGUCCAGACUCCUACGGGAGGCAGCAGUAGGGAAUCUUCCGCAAUGGGCGAAAGCCUGACGGAGCAACGCCGCGUGAGUGAUGAAGGUCUUCGGAUCGUAAAACUCUGUUAUUAGGGAAGAACAUAUGUGUAAGUAACUGUGCACAUCUUGACGGUACCUAAUCAGAAAGCCACGGCUAACUACGUG
This 497-nucleotide ribosomal RNA is filed under the name uncultured bacterium. Its description in RNAcentral is "partial 16S ribosomal RNA". It matches the Rfam family "Bacterial small subunit ribosomal RNA", at positions 28 to 507 of the family's 1533-position model. The record is from RNAcentral.